Long non-coding RNA from Papaver somniferum (opium poppy), 870 nucleotides. RefSeq lists it as uncharacterized. The transcript has 3 exons. The record is from RefSeq and is a predicted model, not a curated record. Lineage: Eukaryota; Viridiplantae; Streptophyta; Magnoliopsida; Ranunculales; Papaveraceae.
AUCUUCACAACUUUAACGACCCAUGUUUCACCCGAUAAAUAACUUCCCAGUUCUACCUCAACUCUUCCUCUUCUUUCUUCGACUAUAUCAAAAAAUAAACAAACCCACACAUUAAAAUUUGUCUACAAAGAUCAUGCAGUCCUGCAAGUUAGUUAGGGUUUGGGUGAAAUCAGUUCUUCUAUCAUGAUUUCUGAACCUAGGGUUGCAAAUUUAUUUUAGUUGAUUUUGUUUAAUUCACCUAAUUUUAAACUGUUCAUGAAUUUUUCAUACUGAUGAAGUUUAUCUUCUUCAAUUUCUUUGAUGUUCGAACAUAUUUCGAAUCAAGAACUCAAACAAUUUCUUCCUCUGUUCAUUGAUUUAUAGCUAUAGUUGGACUUCUACCAAGCUGGAAAGAAAUUUCACAACUCUCCCUAAAGAUGCUGAUCCUGCGGGAGUUCACUGAUAUUGGGGCUUGGAUUGUACUUUCCUGAAACUAGGAAAGCAAAGAUGGUAGAGAAAAAUUGGUGCCUUAAUAUCUUGUGAGACAGAAAAUACCAACAAGCUCUGGCACCAGAAAACAAUGGGAAAGGACAGAGAUUCAAGCUCAAAUACAUCUGCCCUUGUGGGUAUUAAGAAAGAUAACUUGGCAUUGUAUAUAGUCUUUAACGCAAUCUUGCUUACCUUUAUCUCUCUAACAUCUCCAAGGUACUUUCUCUAGAUUAACUUUCCUGGCAGCAAUUUAAAAAAAAAAACAAUCUUUUCUAUGAUGACUAAUGAUUCAGAAGAAACACUAGAGAUUUUUGCAUGAUUAUCUUCAGAUAAUUUUCUAAGUUAAUUAGGAUCAGAACAAAAAGAUGUCUGAUAACUUUUAGGUAAAAUGAAUGUUUACUA